AGUCCAAAAUCAAGAUAAUGGGU
This 23-nucleotide small nuclear RNA is filed under the name Arabidopsis thaliana (thale cress). Its description in RNAcentral is "snRNA_15064". Lineage: Eukaryota; Viridiplantae; Streptophyta; Magnoliopsida; Brassicales; Brassicaceae. The record is from RNAcentral.